GAUGAAGAACGCAGCGAAAUGCGAUAAGUAAUGUGAAUUGCAGAAUUCAGUGAAUCAUCGAAUCUUUGAACGCACAUUGCGCCCGUCAGUAUUCUGGCGGGCAUGCCUGUUCGAGCGUCAUUACGCCCCUCAAGUCCCCUGUGGACUUGGUGUUGGGGAUCGGCGAGGCUGGUUUUCCAGCACAGCCGUCCCUUAAAUUAAUUGGCGGUCUCGCCGUGGCCCUCCUCUGCGCAGUAGUAAAACACUCGCAACAGGAGCCCGGCGCGGUCCACUGCCGUAAAACCCCCCAACUUUUUAUAGUUGACCUCGAAUCAGGUAGGACUACCCGUUGAACUUAAGCAUAUCAAUAAGCGGAGGA
RNAcentral lists this unclassified non-coding RNA (358 nucleotides) under soil metagenome. Its description in RNAcentral is "partial contains 5.8S ribosomal RNA, internal transcribed spacer 2, and large subunit ribosomal RNA". The stretch from base 1 to 120 matches the Rfam family "5.8S ribosomal RNA", at positions 35 to 154 of the family's 154-position model. The record is from RNAcentral.